Pantherophis guttatus is the source of this 1483-nucleotide non-coding RNA. The record is from RefSeq and is a predicted model, not a curated record. NCBI's taxonomy places the organism in Eukaryota, Metazoa, Chordata, Lepidosauria, Squamata, Colubridae.
AAUUCUGUUACUGUUGCUUACUGUUAUUUGCCUCACAAGGUUGUGGUGGGGUGGAAAGGAAGAAGAGGAAGGAAGAUGAGAUACGAUUGCUGCCUGGAAUGAUUUAUAAAAAUAAUAAAGGCAGGAAUUUAAAAAAUAUUUUUAAAAAAUACUAAAAUGGGAGACUACGUAAACAGCAGGGGCAAAUUACUUCUGUUGUUGCCAGAGAAACAAGCCAGAGCCACGAAGAGCCCAAUUCAAAAGAGGGGGGGGGUUUCUUUCAGCACCUCGCAGCCAAUGGAAGGGAGUUGUUUGCUAAAGCCCAGGGAAUUCUGAAAAGGGAUUGGCACUCUAGCCAGGAUUUCUCAACCUUGACCACUUUAAGCUGUGUGGACAUCAACUCCCAAAAUUCCCCAAACAUCAUGGCUAGCUGCGGAAUUCUGGGAGUUGAAGUCCACAGUUUAAAGUGACCGAGGUUGAGAAACCCUGCUCUGACUCCUCCUGCUCUGUCCAUCCAGACCACUUGAGCAGCAAACAUUCCUGGAAAAGCUACUCUCUGCAAGAAAUUUGAAAGGUUUUGCACCCCUCCCAGCUUUUUGCAAGGUUGGAUUGAAGCCAUUUGAAGCAGGCUGGCAGAAAUCCUGGAACCUUUGCCAAGAAGCUACCGAAGGAAAGCUAAGAAGCCAACAUGAAAGAAUUCCAAUUACUGUGGUCUAUGGAAAGCAGGAGGCAACAAAUACUGUACGUCAAGUGUACGCCAAGGGGUUUUCCCCCCCUCCCCCCACUUGUCUCUGGGUCUCCAGGAAAGCAUUCUGGAGAUGAAAGCAGGGCCAUGGCUUGAACUACGGCUGCCGGUAAUUCUGCCUUCAAACCACAACAUCAUUUGAUGUUUCAACUGGUAUAAUGUAUUUUAUGUUAUAUGUUACAAAUAUAUCACAAAUAUAAGUUAUGAGCAUAGAGGGCCUGUAAUGCAACCAUAGUUAGCCUUUUCAUGAACUCCCUGGGAAACUCAUGUUGCUGGAAUGUGUGUAAGGAAAGUUUCUGAGUGUGUGUAUGAGUGAUUUAUCGUUGGUGAUACCAGGCAGGGUGGAUGUGAGGAAAUCAGUGGAGUCUUGGAACAAACAGUGAGCGUGUAAAGUUCCUGACGUGGAUGGGGCAAGAUGUACUAUCCACGUGGAUUCUGAAUAAAUGUGUUGGGUAUAAAGAGAAGGCUGAACCCAGACCCUAAGUUCAGGAUGAAGGGGACGCCCCGAGUCUGCUUCCCAGCCCACUCUAACGCAGGCUCUAACACAUCACCUGUGUUGAGAGUGUAAGUGAGCAUUGUGUGAAUGCCUAGUUGGGCAGCAAAUGCUUACAGCAACUUGAGUGGGCAUAACAUAUUGUAGUAAGAUAACUUUGAAAUUAGACAAGUAUAAGUACAAAUAUAAAAGAACUAAUUAAGCUUAAUUGCACGCUUGCCUUGCUUUUUGUCUGAAUCACACAAGAAUAAAGGAACUAUUGGAAA